Molecule: ribosomal RNA, 507 nt
Filed under: uncultured bacterium
Lineage: Bacteria
Description: bacterial SSU rRNA
Rfam family: Bacterial small subunit ribosomal RNA
Source: RNAcentral
AACGAACGCUGGCGGCGCGCCUAAUACAUGCAAGUCGAGCGAGAAGACGUAGCAAUACGUUUGUAAAGCGGCGAACGGGUGAGGAAUACAUGGGUAACCUACCCUCGAGUGGGGAAUAACUAGCCGAAAGGUUAGCUAAUACCGCGUACGCUCCUUGGACUUCGGUUCAGGGAGGAAAGCGAUACCGUGGGUAUCGCGCUCUUGGAUGGGCUCAUGUCCUAUCAGCUUGUUGGUGAGGAACGGCUCACCAAGGCUUCGACGGGUAGCUGGUCUGAGAGGAUGAUCAGCCACAUUGGGACUGAGACACGGCCCAGACUCCUACGGGAGGCAGCAGUGGGGAAUAUUGCGCAAUGGCCGCAAGGCUGACGCAGCGACGCCGCGUGUGGGAUGACGGGUCUUCGGAUUGUAAACCACUGUCAGGGGGACGAAUACAGGGCUUCGAUAAGGAGACCCUGGGUGACGGUACCUCCAAAGGAAGCACCGGCUAACUCCGUGCCAGCCGCCGCC